RNAcentral lists this ribosomal RNA (800 nucleotides) under uncultured bacterium. Its description in RNAcentral is "bacterial SSU rRNA". It matches the Rfam family "Bacterial small subunit ribosomal RNA", at positions 8 to 783 of the family's 1533-position model. The record is from RNAcentral.
AGAGUUUGAUCAUGGCUCAGAGUGAACGCUGGCGGCAGGCCUAACACAUGCAAGUCGAACGGCAGCACAGGGGAGCUUGCUCCCUGGGUGGCGAGUGGCGGACGGGUGAGGAAUGCGUCGGAAUCUGCCUUUUCGUGGGGGAUAACGUAGGGAAACUUACGCUAAUACCGCAUGCGACCCUGCACCGGGAGGUGCUGGGUGAAAGCGGGGGACCUUCGGGCCUCGCGCGGAAAGAUGAGCCGACGCCGGAUUAGCUAGUUGGCGGGGUAACGGCCCACCAAGGCGACGAUCCGUAGCUGGUCUGAGAGGAUGAUCAGCCACACUGGAACUGAGACACGGUCCAGACUCCUACGGGAGGCAGCAGUGGGGGAUAUUGGACAAUGGGCGCAAGCCUGAUCCAGCCAUGCCGCGUGAGUGAAGAAGGCCUUCGGGUUGUAAAGCUCUUUUGUUGGGAAAGAAAAGCUUUCGGUUAAUAACCGGGAGUCCUGACGGUACCCAAAGAAUAAGCACCGGCUAACUUCGUGCCAGCAGCCGCGGUAAUACGAAGGGUGCAAGCGUUACUCGGAAUUACUGGGCGUAAAGCGUGCGUAGGUGGUGGUUUAAGUCUGAUGUGAAAGCCCUGGGCUCAACCUGGGAAUGGCAUUGGAAACUGGAUCACUGGAGUGCGGUAGAGGAUGGCGGAAUUCCCGGUGUAGCAGUGAAAUGCGUAGAGAUCGGGAGGAACAUCCGUGGCGAAGGCGGCCAUCUGGACCAGCACUGACACUGAGGCACGAAAGCGUGGGGAGCAAACAGGAUUAGAU